RNAcentral lists this ribosomal RNA (253 nucleotides) under uncultured bacterium. Its description in RNAcentral is "partial 16S ribosomal RNA". It matches the Rfam family "Bacterial small subunit ribosomal RNA", at positions 524 to 776 of the family's 1533-position model. The record is from RNAcentral.
UACGUAGGGGGCAAGCGUUGUCCGGAUUUAUUGGGCGUAAAGAGCGCGUAGGCGGCUAGAUAGGUCCGUUGUGAAAACUCGAGGCUCAACCUCGAGACGUCGAUGGAAACCAUCUGGCUAGAGUCCGGAAGAGGAGAGUGGAAUUCCUGGUGUAGCGGUGAAAUGCGUAGAUAUCAUUUGGAACGCCAAUGGUGAAAACAGCUUGCUGGGGGUUUGCUGACGCUGAGACACGAAAGCCAGGGGAGCAAACGGG